GCGGGUGUGGUAUAGAAGUAUUACGCCAGUUUACCAAACUGGAAAUGCAGGAGCGUUACCUGCCAUCCGCU
This 71-nucleotide transfer RNA is filed under the name Pelagibacter phage HTVC008M. It matches the Rfam family "tRNA". From Rfam's summary of the family: Transfer RNA (tRNA) molecules are approximately 80 nucleotides in length. Their secondary structure includes four short double-helical elements and three loops (D, anti-codon, and T loops). The record is from Rfam by way of RNAcentral. Lineage: Duplodnaviria; Heunggongvirae; Uroviricota; Caudoviricetes; Pantevenvirales; Kyanoviridae.